RNAcentral lists this long non-coding RNA (296 nucleotides) under Homo sapiens (human). RNAcentral's name for it is "LNC_000429". Lineage: Eukaryota; Metazoa; Chordata; Mammalia; Primates; Hominidae. The record is from RNAcentral.
CCCUGUUAGUGACUCCAGUGUCCUCUUCGUUUAGGUUGCUGCUCUCCUGGAUCGUCUUGAUCCAAGCUAGCAUAUCAUCUCUGUCUUCAGCCUGAAACAGGCAUUCACAGUCGGACGUGGUGAGUCGAAACACAUUUUUCCUCUUGGUCUCACUGUAAGAGAUGUCUAUCAAGCAAGCAUUAACACUGAUGGGCUGCUCUUCCUCAGACGGAGUCGUCUGCUCUCUUUUAUCUUUGUACAGGUAAAGUGAAUGACCCCGAAGGACAACAUACAUCUGUUUCCAUGGCCGAAUACUU